GGAUUAAAGGGCAGGCUACCAUGGCUAAUACUAUUGUAUUUGCUAUAGGCCACCUGAUCAGGAAGAGGAAGUAGAUGAAGUCUUCUUCAGAGAGUUGGAAGUAGCCUCUUAGUCACAAGCCCUGGUUCUCAUCGGGGACUUCAACCACCCACAUCUGCUGGGAAGACCACACAGCUAGUCACAAACAGAUCAGGAGAUUCCUGCAGUGCACAGAUGACAACAAUUUGACACUGGUGGUGGAGAAGCCAACAAGGAGAGGUGUGCUGCUGGACCUUAUAUUAACAAAUGAGGUAGGACUAUUUGGAGAUGUGAGGGUCAUGGGCAGCCUUGGCUGAAGUGACCAUGAUACGGUGGAUUUCAGGAUCUUGCAAGGAGGAAGCAGGGCAAAAGGUAGUAUUGUCACCCUGGACCUCAGGAGAGCAAAUUUUGGCCUCUUCAGGGAUCUGCUUGGAAGAAUCCCAUCUGCUGAGGUCCUAGAAGGAAGGGAGGUGCAAGACAGAUGGUCAAUAUUCAAGCACCACUUCCUCCAAACUAAAGAUCGAGUGCACCACUAUGACUAAGAAGGCCACCAAAGGGGGCAGGAGACCUGCAUGGAUGAGCAGGGAGCUCCUAUCAAAGCUCAAUCAGAAGAAGGAAGUUUACAGCAUGUGGAAAAAGGGACAGGUCACUUGGGAGGAAUAUAGGGACACUUUCAGAGUAUGCAGGGAUGCAAAAAAGAAGGCCAAGGCCCAUUUGGAAAUAAAUCUGGCAAGGGAUGUCAAGGACAACAAGAAGGGCUUCUUCAAAUAGAUCCAAAGAAAAAGGAAGACUGGGGAAAAUAUCCCCUGUUUUUUUUAAUCCCCUGUCCUGGUUUUGUCUGGGAUAGAGUUCAUUUUCUUCAUAGUGUCUGCUGGGGACGGGGGAGUGAGCAAGAACAGCUGUGUGUGCUUAGCUGCCUUCUGGGUUAAACCACAACAAUAUCUGCAGACCAGUAAAUUAAAAAUAAGAAGCUACGAUGACCACAGUCAAAAACAUUCAUCAGAAAGUUUAACUAAAACUUUGGCCAAAGCACAAAGGACUAUUAUUCAGAAAAUGUAACAAAUGGAAAAUGAAUGUUGUUGACAUGGGCUUGGAAAGACUUAAGAUGUCUUCUUGUAUUUUUUCUUUACAUUAGUAUGAAUGUCAAGCUUUGCUAUGUUUAACAGAGCACUGAAAAACCUUGUAGAUAAUAUUUUUAAUUCAUUAUUUCUUUUAUCAGUUGUUUCCUGUCCCUCUCCCUCUCCCUCUCCCUCUCCUUCUCUUCUUUUUUUUAUUUCUAUUUUUUCAUAUUUUUUCUUUUUCUAUUUCCUUUUUUUUUUUCUUUUUUCUAUUUUUUUUUUCUUUUUCUCAGUGUAAGAAAGCCUGAAGUGACUGGGAAGAAAAAUCAAUUAAAAAAAAAUAACAAGAAAGUGUCAGAGAAAGCUUUAUUUCAAAUAGAUGUCAGCUUGUGUUGCUGUGGGUCUUGCCACUGCACUGAACAAACAGGUGGGACCUUUGGAGGCAGACAUCAGCAGCUAUUAUGGCAUUAGGGAAUCCCUGCAAGGAGGAGAAUUCUCUUCCUGUAUAUUAAAUUCCCUCAAAUUGUAUAAAAUGUGGCAGUCUCCUUAAAGGCUUAGAUUAACGUUAAUGAAGGAAACAAUAAAGAGAGAAAUGAGAGAGCUGACA
Molecule: long non-coding RNA, 1683 nt
Filed under: Anas platyrhynchos platyrhynchos (common mallard)
Lineage: Eukaryota; Metazoa; Chordata; Aves; Anseriformes; Anatidae
Description: lncRNA (ENSAPLG00000025199.1)
Source: RNAcentral